GAAUAUUGCACAAUGGGCGCAAGCCUGAUCCAGCAAUGCCGCGUGCAGGAUGAAGGCCUUCGGGUUGUAAACUGCUUUUGUACGGAACGAAAAGCUUUGGGUUAAUACCCUGGAGUCAUGACGGUACCGUAAGAAUAAGCACCGGCUAACUACGUGCCAGCAGCCGCGGUGAUACGUAGGGUGCAAGCGUUAAUCGGAAUUACUGGGCGUAAAGCGUGCGCAGGCGGUUUUGUAAGACAGAGGUGAAAUCCCCGGGCUCAACCUGGGAACUGCCUUUGUGACUGCAAGGCUAGAGUACGGCAGAGGGGGGUGGAAUUCCGCGUGUAGCAGUGAAAUGCGUAGAUAUGCGGAGGAACACCGAUGGCGAAGGCAACCCCCUGGGCCUGUACUGACGCUGAGGAGCGAAAGCAUGGGUAGCGAA
Molecule: ribosomal RNA, 421 nt
Filed under: uncultured bacterium
Lineage: Bacteria
Description: partial 16S ribosomal RNA
Rfam family: Bacterial small subunit ribosomal RNA
Source: RNAcentral